RNAcentral lists this transfer RNA (69 nucleotides) under Simias concolor (Simakobou). RNAcentral's name for it is "tRNA-His". It matches the Rfam family "tRNA". Rfam says of the family: Transfer RNA (tRNA) molecules are approximately 80 nucleotides in length. Their secondary structure includes four short double-helical elements and three loops (D, anti-codon, and T loops). Lineage: Eukaryota; Metazoa; Chordata; Mammalia; Primates; Cercopithecidae. The record is from RNAcentral.
GUAAAUAUAGUUUAACUAAAACAUUAGAUUGUGAAUCUAAAUAUAGAAACCCAGUACUUCUUAUUUACC